UACAUGGGGUGCAAACGUUGCUCGGAAUCAUUGGGCGUAAAGCGCGCGUAGGCGGUUACACAAGUUGAAUGUGAAAGCCCUCGGCUUAACUGAGGAAGUGCAUCCAAAACUGUGCAGCUAGAGUACUAAAGAGGGUCGCGGAAUUCCCGGUGUAGAGGUGAAAUUCGUAGAUAUCGGGAGGAACACCGGUGGCGAAGGCGGCGACCUGGGUAGAUACUGACGCUGAGGCGCGAAAGCGUGGGGAGCAAACAGG
This 253-nucleotide ribosomal RNA is filed under the name uncultured bacterium. RNAcentral's name for it is "partial 16S ribosomal RNA". It matches the Rfam family "Bacterial small subunit ribosomal RNA", at positions 524 to 776 of the family's 1533-position model. The record is from RNAcentral.